Long non-coding RNA from Oncorhynchus tshawytscha (Chinook salmon), 370 nucleotides. NCBI's taxonomy places the organism in Eukaryota, Metazoa, Chordata, Actinopteri, Salmoniformes, Salmonidae. The record is from Ensembl.
AGGGGGUACAGGUACAGAGACAAUGUGGAGGCUAUAUACAGGGGGUACUGGUACAGAGUCAAUGUGGAGGCUAUAUACAGGGGGUACUGGUACAGAGACAAUGUGGAGGCUAUAUACAAGGGGUACCGGUACAGAGUCAAUGUGGAGGCUAUAUACAGGGGGUACAGGUACAGAGUCAAUGUGGAGACUAUAUACAGGGGGUACAGGUACAGAGACAAUGUGGAGGCUAUAUACAGGGGGUACAGGUACAGAGACAAUGUGGAGGCUAUAUACAGGGGGUACAGGUACAGAGACAAUGUGGAGGCUAUAUACAGGGGGUACAGGUACAGAGUCAAUGUGGAGGCUAUAUACAGGGGGUACAGGCACAGAG